GAUGAACGCUGGCGGCGUGCCUAAUACAUGCAAGUCGAGCGAACAGACGAGGAGCUUGCUCCUCUGCCGUUAGCGGCGGACGGGUGAGUAACACGUGGAUAACCUACCUAUAAGACUGGGAUAACUUCGGGAAACCGGAGCUAAUACCGGAUAAUAUAUUGAACCGCAUGGUUCAAUAGUGAAAGACGGUUUUGCUGUCACUUAUAGAUGGAUCCGCGCCGCAUUAGCUAGUUGGUAAGGUAACGGCUUACCAAGGCAACGAUGCGUAGCCGACCUGAGAGGGUGAUCGGCCACACUGGAACUGAGACACGGUCCAGACUCCUACGGGAGGCAGCAGUAGGGAAUCUUCCGCAAUGGGCGAAAGCUUGACGGAGCAACGCCGCGUGAGUGAUGAAGGUCUUCGGAUCGUAAAACUCUGUUAUUAGGGAAGAACAAAUGUGUAAGUAACUAUGCACGUCUUGACGGUACCUAAUCAGAAAGCCACGGCUAACUACGUG
This 497-nucleotide ribosomal RNA is filed under the name uncultured bacterium. Its description in RNAcentral is "partial 16S ribosomal RNA". It matches the Rfam family "Bacterial small subunit ribosomal RNA", at positions 28 to 507 of the family's 1533-position model. The record is from RNAcentral.